AAUAUUGGACAAUGGGGGGAACCCUGAUCCAGCCAUGCCGCGUGUGUGAAGAAGGUCUUCGGAUUGUAAAGCACUUUAAGUUGGGAGGAAGAGAUGUAGGCUAAUACUCUGCAAUUUUGACGUUACCAACCGAAAAAGCACCCGCGAACAUCGGGCCAGCAGCCGCGGUAAUACGAAGGGUGCAAGCGUUCAUCGGAAUUAGUGGGCGUAAAGCGCGCGUAGGUGGUUCGUUAAGUUGGAAGUGAAAGCCCCGGGCUUAACCUGGGAAUUGCUUUCAAAACUGACGAGCUAGAGUACGGUAGAGGGUAGUGGAAUUUCCUGUGUAGCGGUGAAAUGCGUAGAUAUAGGAAGGAACACCAGUGGCGAAGGCGACCACCUGGGCUAAUACUGACGCUGAGGUGCGAAAGCGUGGGGAGCAAACAGG
This 424-nucleotide ribosomal RNA is filed under the name uncultured bacterium. RNAcentral's name for it is "partial 16S ribosomal RNA". It matches the Rfam family "Bacterial small subunit ribosomal RNA", at positions 360 to 776 of the family's 1533-position model. The record is from RNAcentral.